ACAAUACUUGAAGGAUUUAUAACAGAGUGCAAUCACACUUAUUACAUCGAAUGUCUCAAAAGAGAACUUAUUACAAUAAAUAUGGCUUAAGGCCAUCUAAAUAAGAUAACUGCGGAAGCAUCAAAGGUAAAUGAGUCCAUCAACUCCAACGGCAUAGCUGAGUGCACGACAACGACCUAGCGCACCUUACUCUUCGUCUAAAAAGUCUACAACAUGAUAUGUUCCAGCCCGAAACGGGUCAGCACAUGGAAUAUGCUGGCAAGAUAACGCAAUAGAGCAAUGAACAAGUAAAUGCUAUCACUACAUGCAUAUAUGGCUGGUGGAGGCUCUAUGGUUAUAAUGUUUUUGCGAAAAGCCACUUUUUUCCUACAAUAAAGGAAUAUAUUUUGUUUAACUAUCAUGGUAGUUGUUAAACAUUGAGAAGGUUCCUCCAACUCAAUCCCAAUUAAACAGUAUUAAUAACCCAACAAAUUAAAUUAGAGUGAUGAGAUCAACAUGAUAAUCCAAGAAGCAGAUACUCAAGAUGCCCAUAACCGGGGACACAGCUAACCAUGAUUAGUUUGUACACUCUGCAGAGGUUUGCGCACUUUUCCCCACAAGACUCGAUCUCCUCCGUUGGAUUUGUCGCACUACAGGGUGUUUGAGAAACGGAUGACCGAGGCACAGUCUUUCAGAAACAUUAACUCUUUACUCUGGGUAGACAGUACCAACCUACAUCCCCUACAUCUGCUAGCGUACCACUGAAAGAGGUCAUGCAACAUGCUCAACUAUGCCAGAGCCCAUAAUGGCUUGUGGCUGCACGUGGAAGUUUCUAGCAUGAAUAAUCUUAUGAUCCCUUUGAGCCUGGGUGGCGAACCGUAGGAUGAUCACACGGGUACUCCGGGAUAUCCUAGGACAACAUUGGAUUCUCCAGGUGCCCGCAACCAAUCCACCUAGAUGUGUAUUUAAGUAGCCACCUUAAGUUAACCAUUAAAUUAACAAUCUCACAUCUUUCAUGGAUACACUCAAACCCAAACCACGUCUACAAGCAUAGCAUAGCAGUAUAAGCAUAACGUACAAGUAACUCCCAUGGGUUGAUAUAAAAUGGCAAUAGGUUCUACCUCAUCAUCUACUUCCCAAUACCCACAAAUUAAUCACAUCCUAAUCAUGCAGUGUUUGAGGAUUCUAACUAAUGCAUAAAAACUGGGUAAUAAAGGGGUAUGAUCAAUGUGUUACUUGCCUUGCUGACGAUCCGCAAACCCUAGAGACUCGUAGUAGCACGUUUCGCACUCCGGAAAUUCUAUCGUAAACAAACAAUAGCAUACGUAAGCACUCAAGCAUAGAUACAAGGGUAAAACUCAAAUAAGAAGAUCAAAUCUGAAAAUUCAACUGAAGAGUUUUGAUUUGCAAAAAGAAUCAAUCCAAUCGGAGCUACGGAACUGAAACUACGAUCAAAAGAAAUUCGAAUUAAAAUCUGCUUGAAACAAAAUUUUAAAUUGUCAAAAUCAUGUUCAAGUUGUUUAACCGGAAAGAGGGGCUCGAGACGAAGAUUUUGGCAUUGGUUUCACUGGAUUUGGACAAAUGGUUAAAAAGUUACGAGGGUUUGAAGAUCAGGGGCUAAUCUGCGAUAAAAAAUCGCGGAUAGGUCCCUGGCUGAAAAAUAAACGGAAAAAGAAAAAUCUAUCGGACGGACGUCCGCUAACAGAGAUGAACGGGUGAAUUCGUUCGUUAAAACGAACGAACGUUCGCAAAGUAACCUAAACCAAAGAAAACCGAAUCGAUCUAAUAAUAAUAAUAAACUGAUCUAGGGUUUAAAAAAACCGACGGUUUAUACCUAAAACCAAAAAACGGUGGCGAAGAAGUCAACGGCGGCUGCGGGAUUCCGGCGAGCGGCGGCGUCGGCNNNNNNNNNNNNNNNNNNNNNNNNNNNNNNNNNNNNNNNNNNNNNNNNNNNNNNNNNNNNNNNNNNNNNNNNNNNNNNNNNNNNNNNNNNNNNNNNNNNNNNNNNNNNNNNNNNNNNNNNNNNNNNNNNNNNNNNNNNNNNNNNNNNNNNNNNNNNNNNNNNNNNNNNNNNNNNNNNNNNNNNNNNNNNNNNNNNNNNNNNNNNNNNNNNNNNNNNNNNNNNNNNNNNNNNNNNNNNNNNNNNNNNNNNNNNNNNNNNNNNNNNNNNNNNNNNNNNNNNNNNNNNNNNNNNNNNNNNNNNNNNNNNNNNNNNNNNNNNNNNNNNNNNNNNNNNNNNNNNNNNNNNNNNNNNNNNNNNNNNNNNNNNNNNNNNNNNNNNNNNNNNNNNNNGGGUGGCGGUGCGGGGCGGUGUGGGGAGAGACGGCGGCGGGGUGGGGUAUUUAAGGAGGGGGGUGCGGGUGGCUUGGGGAAAGGGUUGGCGGCGGCGGAGUCCGCAAGGGACACGGCGGCGGCGGCGGCUCGGCUGGGGACUCCGUCCCUGAGUCGGAGCGGGAGGCGGUGCAGGGCGGUGGGCCGGCCCGGCUCGGCUUGGCCGUUGGCCUAGUCGGGCGACACACAUGUUUUUUAAAUAAAUUUCCGCCGAAAAGGAAAAAAAUUAUAAAAAUGCCAAAAACAAUUUUCACCGUCUAUAUAUAAUAUUUUAGAACAUAGUGAACAUUUCCUUGGCCUAAAAUGCAAUUUUGAAAAAUGCAUAUUUUUCUAAUUCAAAUAAAAUAGCAAAUAAAAAUCCAAAUAAAAUAUUUAUUUGAUUUUAACAUUUUUCCUCCAAUAUUUCUUUUAUUUUGGGGAAGUCAUAUUAUCUCCUCUCUUUUAUUUCUUUUUUUGGAAAUAUUUUGGAGAGAAAAAUAAUUAAAACUAAAAUGAACCUCUUUUCAAUAUUUGAGAAAAAUUCAAAUAUUAAAAUAAAUGAAAUCCCCAACUCUCUCUGUGGGUUCUUGAGUUGCUUAGAAUUUCUAGGAUCAAAACCAAAAUGCAAUUAAAAAUAUGAUAUGCAUAUGAUGACUUAUGUAUAACAUUCCAAAUUGAAAAUUUGGGAUGUUACAAACCUACCCCCCUUAAGAUGAAUCUCGCCCUGGAGAUUCGGGUUGGCUAGAAAAUAGGUGUGGGUGGUCUUUCCGUAGGUCUUCUUCUCUCUCCCACGUGGCUUCAUCCUCGGUAUGGUGGCUCCACUGAGCUUUGCAAAACUUAAUAACCUUGCUGCGUGUGACUCGGCUGGCAAACUCGAGAAUCUUGACAGGUUUCUCCUCAUAGGUCAGAUCACUUUCCAGCUGAAUUGCUUCCAGGGGCACUGUGGUUAUGUGAACUUCCUCCAUUGUGGGUAUGGCCUCCAUGGUUAUGGGUAUAUCCUCCCGAGUUCGGGGUAAAACGAGGCUUCUGCUAAGCUCCUGAAUUGUACUUCCCUUGUCCAUACUUCCGUUUGCGGCUCUCGGUCUGCUGCUGCUUCCCUUCAAUCAUUAGAGCCUUGUCUACCAACUCCUGGUAGUUGUUAAAUGUUGCCACCAUUAACUGCAUACUCAUCUCAUCAUUCAGCCCUUCCAUAAACUUUUCCUGCUUAGCGGCAUCUGUGGCCAUAUCAUUUGGGGCAUAGCGGGCUAACUUACUAGACUCAUCCACGUACUGCCCCACAGUACGGUUUCCCUGGCGUAAGUUACGAAACUCACACUUCUUCAUGCUCAUAGCUCCAGUUGACACAUGAGCAGUGCGGAAAGCUUGUUGAAACUGUUCCCAAGUGACAUUGGCUUUAGGGAAAGUGGCUGUGUAAUUCUCCCACCAUGAGGCCGCGGGUCCAUCCAAUUGAUGUGCGGCAAAACACACCUUCUCAGCAUCUGUGCAACCUGCGGUGGUCAACUCCCUUCCAAUCCUGCAUAGCCAGUCAUCAGCAACUAUUGGCUCGGUGCUACUGGAAAACACCGGCGGCUGCAACCUUAGAAAACGGGCUAAGUUGUCAAUGGGAGGUGGUGGCCGUGGGUUGUUGUUGUUGUUGCCUUGGUUCUGGACUAGUAGCUGCAUCAAGGCAUUCUGCUGUUGGAUCAACUGGGUGAGCUCCGGUGGGAAGACAAAUCCGGGGUCACGUCUCGGAGGCAUCUGGUGGGUUUAGAGGGGAGAGAUUAGAAUAGAAUGAGGUCUAGUGGGAAAGCACUACCCAUAUGCACAUGAGACAAACACAUUCAUAUCACACCAAAUCAAUUCAAACAAGGGCAUACAAUCAAUCUAACUAUCGUUACAGUGCUCGGGCUAUUACUAUAUACAUGGGGGAAAUACUACUGCUAAUAUGGUGGUCUACUAGAAAUUUUGAUCGGUGGAAGACUCCAUGAUAUCCGCUCCAGCUUCGUCUUCAUAAUCAUCAUCACUACUGUCAGGGUCGGAGUCGGUGUCGUCGAUGAUGAUGUAGUCCUCCGAACGGAUGUCAUCAGGAUGGUCGUCAUCUCCUCCUAGCGCGGGGUCUCCCAUGAAUACUCCUAGCUUCCUCGUCAGGUCGUCAUGCUUCUCCACUAGUAUUGCGAUUUCCUCCUCGUAGCUGUCGCGUGUAGACUUGAGUUCCUCUUCAAGCUCCAUGUUCCUGGUCAUCACCUUCUUCAGUUCUAUCAUGCUUGCGCACAUUUGGUUCUCCUGGCGACGAAUGUGCUGGUUCAACUCCUGGAUGAAAGCUGCAAUGGACCCGUCCCUCCUGGUGCUGAUCAUCUCCCAUUGCUCAUCUCGGCGCCCACAUAUCUGGUAGAUGGUGUCCUUAAGAUCCUUGUGAUAAACUUCGCCGAUGCGUCCCAUGGCGAUGUGGGCUGCUAUGCUCUUACCUAGACUCCAGGUGGGUGCAUCAAAGGAAAACUCUAUGGGCUCAGUAACUGGCGUGAAUGUCCUUCCUGGAACUAGAACUCGAAUCAUCCACGCACCUCUUCUGGUAAAGUGGUCGUGUAGGUCCCGGUGAAGCUUGGUAUUCCAAUGUUCAGGUACCUAGUGACUUCCUUCAAGUGUCUCCCAAAAGAUGUGUCUUCAUCCAGUUGUCCAAACUUGUUCCUUGAGUCCGCCAUCCUAUGGUGUGGAAAAUGGAGAGGAGUCAGAAAUCAGUAGAGAAGAGUGACCUAUGGCUUAUCUUAGUGGUCGUGUCCUACAAUCAGUGUGUGCUCUGAUACCAUCUUGUAGCGAUCCGACCUCAGACGGUCAAAUUUCUGUGCAUAAGUGUCAUCCCUGGAUCGGUAAUGCUGACACACACAGUACUUGAAGGAUUUAUAACAGAGUGCAAUCACACACUUAUUACAUCAAAUGUCUCAAAAGAGAACUUAUUACAAUAAAUAUGGCUUAAGGCCAUCUAAAUAAGAUAACUGCGGAAGCGUCAAAGAUAAAUGAGUCCAUCAACUCCAACGGCAUAGCUGAGUGCACGACAACGACCUAGCGCACCUUACUCUUUGUCUGGAAAGUCUGCUACAUGAUAUGUUGCAGCCCGAAACGGGUCAGCACAUGGAAUAUGCUGGCAAGAUAACACAAUAGAGCAAUGAACAAGUAAAUGCUAUCACUACAUGCAUACAUGGCUGGUGGAGGCUCUAUGGUUAUAAUGUUUUUGCGAAAAGCCAAUUUUUUCCUACAACGAAGGAAUAUAUUUUGUUUAACUAUCAUGGUAGUUGUUAAACAUUGAGAAGGUUCCUCCAACUCAAUCCCAACUACACAAUAUUAAUAACCCAACAAAUUAAAUUAGAGUGAUGAGAUCAACAUGAUAAUCCAAGAGCCAGAUACUCAAGAUGUCCAUAACCGGGGACACGGCUAACCAUGAUUAGUUUGUACACUCUGCAGAGGCUUGCGCACUUUUCCCCACAAGACUCGAUCUCCUCCGUUGGAUUUCUCGCACAAUAGGGUGUUUGAGAAAUGGAUGACCGAGACAUAGUCUUUCAGAAACAUUAACUCUUUACUCUGGGUAGACAGUACCAACCUACAUCCCCUACAUCUGCUAGCCUACCACUGAAAGAGGUCAUGCAACAUACUCAACUAUGCCAGAGCCCAUAAUGGCUUGUGGCUGCACACGGAAGUUUCUAGCAUGAAUAAUCUUAUGAUCCCUUUGAGCCUGGGUGGCGAACCGUAGGAUGAUCACACGGGUACUCCGGGAUAUCCUAGGACAACACUGGAUUCUCCAGGUGCCCGCAACCAAUCCACCUAGAUGUGUAUUUAAGUAGCCACCUUAAGUUAACCAUUAAAUUAACAAUCUCACAUCUUUCAUGGAUACACUCAAACUCAAGCCACGUCUACAAGCAUAGCAUGAUAGUAUAAGCAUAACGUAGAAGUAACUCCCAGGGGUUGAUAUAAAAGGGCAAUAGGUUCUACCUCAUCAUCUACUUCCCAAUACCCACAAAUUAAUGACAUCCUAAUCAUGCAGUGUUUGAGGAUUGUAACUAAUGCAUAAAAACUGGGUAAUAAAGGGGUAUGAUCAAUGUGUUACUUGCCUUGCUGACGAUCCACAAACCCUAGAGACUCGUAGUAGCACGCUUCGCACUCCGGAAAUUCUAUCACAAACAAACAAUAGCAUACAUAAGCACUCAAGUAUAGAUGCAAGGGUAAAACUCAAAUAAGAUGAUCAAAUUUGAAAAUUCAACUGAAGAGUUUCGAUUUGCAAAAAGAAUCAAUCAAAUCGGAGCUACGGAACUGAAACUACGAUCAAAAGAAAUUCGAAUUCAAAUCUGCUUGAAAUCAAAUUUUAAAUUGUCAAAGUCAUAUUCAAGUUGUUAAACCAAAAGAGGGGCUCGAGACAAACAUUUUGGCAUUGGUUUCACUGGAUUUGGACAAACGGUUAAAAAGUUACGAGGGUUUGAAGAUCAGGGGCUAAUCUGCGAUAAAAAAAUCGCGGAUAGGUCCCUGGCUAAAAAAUAGACGGAAAAAGAAAAAUCUGUCUGACGAACGUCCGCUAACAAAGACGAAUGUGCGAAUUCGUUUGUUAAAACGAACGAACGUUCGCAAAGUAACUUAAACCGAAGAAAACGGACCGAUCUAAUAAUAAUAAAACCGAUCUAGGGUUUAAAAAAAUGACGGUUUAUACCUAAAACCAAAAAAAGGCAGCGACGAAGUCAACGACAGCGGCGGGACUCCGGCGGGCGGCGGCGCCGAGGCGAGGCGGCAGCGGCGCGGCGGCUGGGGCGGCACUGGGUGGCGGUGCGAGGCGGUGUGGGGAGAGACGGCGGCGGGGUGGGGUAUUUAAGGAGGGGGUGCGGACGGCUUGGGGAAGGGGCUGGCGGCGGCGGAGUCCCCAGGGCACACGGCGGCGGCGACAACUCGACUCGAGACUCCGUCCCUGAGUCGGAGCGGGAGGCGGUGCGGGGCGCUGGGCCGGCCCGUUGGCCCAGUCGGGCGACGCGCAUUUUUUUUAAAAAAAUUCCGCCGAAAAGGAAAAAAAUUCUAAAAAUGCCAAAAACAAUUUUCACCGUCUAAAUAAAAUAUUUAGAACGUAGUGAACAUUUCCUUGGCCUAAAAAUGCAAUUUUGAAAAAUGCAUAUUUUUCUAAUUCAAAUAAAAUAGCAAAUAAAAAUCCAAAUAAAAUAUUUAUUUGAUUUUAACAUUUUUCCUCCAAUAUUUCUUUUAUUUUGGAGAAGUCAUAUUAUCUCCUCUCUUUUAUUUUUUUAUAUUGGAAAUAUUUUGGACAGAAAAAUAAUUAAAACCAAAAUGAUCCUCUUUUCAAUAUUUGAGAAAAAUUCAAAUAUGAAAAUAAAUGAAAUCCCCAACUCUCUCCGUGGGUCCUUGAGUUGCUUAGAAUUUCUAGGAUCAAAACCAAAAUGCAAUUAAAAAAUAUGAUAUGCAUAUGAUGACCUAUGUAUGACAUUCCAAAUUGAAAAUUUGGGAUGUUACAUAAAAAUGAGAGAAAAAGAGAGAAGGGACAAUGUUACUAUCAUUUUCCACACUUGUGUGUCAAAUAGCGCCAUGUUCUUCAUGAUAGAGAGUCUCCUAUUUUGUCACUUUCAUAUAUUACUAGUGGGAAUUUUUCAUUAUAGAACUUGGCUUGUAUAUUCCAAUGAUGGGGUUCCUCAAAUUGCCCUAUGUCUUUGUGAGCAAGCAAGUUGGAUGCACACACCCACUUAGUUUUCUUUUGAGCCUUCAUACACUUAUAGCUCUAGUGCAUCCGUUGCAUGGUAAUCCCUACUCACUCACAUCGAUAUCAAUUGAUGGGCAUCUCCAUAGCCUAUUAAUUUGCCUAGUUGAUAUGAGACUUUCUCCUUUUUUGUCUUCUCCACACGACCUCCAGCAUUAUAUUCUUUCCACCUAUAGUGCUAUAUCCAUGGCUCACGCUCAUGUAUUGUGUAAGAGUUAAAAAGGCUUAAGAAUGUUUAAAGUAUGAACCAAUUGCUUAGCUUGUCAUCAGGGUUGUGCAUGAUAAAUACUUUGUGUGAUGAAGAUAGAGAAUGAUAAGAUUAUAUGGUUUUGUCAGGAUAACUUUCUUUAGCCAUGAUAUUUUGAGAAGACAUGAUUGCUUUAUUAGUAUGCUUGAAGUAUUGUUGUUUUUAUGUCAGUAUUAAACUUCUGUUUUGAAUCUUAUGGAUCUGAAUAUUCGUGCCAUAAUAAGAAAGAUUACAUGAUAAACAUGUUAGGUAGCAUUCCACAUGAAAAAUUCUGUUUUUAUCAUUUACCUACUCGAGGACGAGCAGGAAUUAAGCUUGGGAAUGCUUGAUACGUAUCCAACAUAUCUAUAAUUUUUUAUUGUUCCAUGCUAUUAUAUUAUCCAUCUUGGAUGUUUCAUAUGCAUUAUUAUGCUAUUUUAUAUCAUUUUUGGGGAUUAACCUAUUAACCUAGUGCCCAGUGCUAGUUGUUUUUUCCUUGUUUUUGACUUUUACAGAAAAUCGAUACCAAACGGAACGAAACUUUUUGAUGAUUUUUCUAGGACCAGAAAACACCUAGGAAGCUUCGGGAGGAGGCUAGAAGGUGGACGGUUGAGCGACAAGCUCGGGAGGCGCGCCCUAGGGGGGCACCACCAAGCUGUUGGGCCCACCGUGGCUCUCCUAACCCUAAUCUCAGCUCCAUAAAUACCCAAAUAUUCCCCGUAUACUAGAGGGCACACCAAAAAUACUUUUCCGCCUCCGCAAGCUUCUGUUCUCGUGAGAUCCCAUAUUGGGGCCUUUUCUAGCCCUCUGCCGAAGGGGGAUUCGAUCACAGAGGGCUUCCACAUCAACCUUGCUACCCUUCCGAUGAUGUGUGACUAGUUUACCACAGACCUACGGGUCCAUAGCUAGUAGCUAUAUGGCUUCUUCUCUCUCUUUGAUCUUCAUAUCUCAAAACAAAUUUAAGUGAAGAACAUGAGCAUAAAGAUGGCUCACAUAUUACUAUCAUCAUAUCUCAAAAGUAUUACAAAGAAUCAAGUUUUAUUUUUUCCAAUGAUCUUCAUGAAAGCUUUUAUAUUUCCCUCUUGAAUAUCUAUCACUUUGGGACAAAUUUCAUAAGUUGCAAUUGCUUUUGACAAGCUAAAACAAAUUUAAGUGAUGAACACGAGGAUAAAGAUUUCAAUCUCUCAAAAUAAUAUAAGUGAAGCAUGAGAGAAUUUCUUCAAAAAAAAAUACUAACUCUCAAAUAAAUCUAAGUGAAGCAUGAGAGUAUUUCUUCAAAAAUAUUAAAGCACACCGUUCUCAAAAAGAUAUAAGUGAAGCUCUAGAGCAAUUCCAUAGCUCAAAAAAUUUAAGUGAAGCAUAAAGAGCAAUUCUAACAAAUCAUAGCACAAUUUUGGCUCUCUCAAAUAGGUGUGUCCAGCAAGGAUAUUUGUGAGAAACUAAAAACGAAAACAAGUGAAGACUCAUAUAAUACAAGACGCUCGAAGGAAAACUCAUGAUAUGUGACGAAUAAAAAUAUAGCUCCAAGUAAAAUUACCGAUGCUUGUUUAGAAGAAAGAGGGUGUCGGUGUACAAAAGUAGGGGCCUUUUUUGUACCCCUUUACUUGUGCACGGGCAGUUGUAUGCACACCUGCGGCCACGCUUGGCGGGGCAGAGGAGGCAAAGAACAAGACUACCAGAGCAGCGCCCAAGCCAGAGGCACGAGAAGCAAAGGGACAAGAUGGCUUUUCCCCGGCAAGAGCCUUGCUGGGGCGGCCUGCGUAGCCCCGGCAAGAACUUUGCCGGGGCAACUCGCCCAACACUAGCAAGGCCACCACCCUUGAGCCUAAGAGUUCCGACACCAUCAACAACAUUGGAACCAAGGCUCGGGAGGCGCCUGCAUGGUGGCAUGCAGAUCUUUGUGAAGACCAGAGGCCUGCAAGACUAGAUGAGAACCAGAAGACGAAGGUCCCCGGCAAGAUCCUUGCCGGGGACGCCCACAAGACCCCGGCAAGACCCUUGUCGGGGACAUCUGCGGGGCCACAGCCAGGCCCAUACUUACCAAGACUCGGACGCCCCGCGGCCGUUCCAACACGGCGAUCAGUUGGCCAGCUAGGCGAGCGCCUGCGUGGCAGUGUGCAGCUUCUAGGCCAACUAGCCAAGCACCUGCGUGGUGGCAUGCAGAUCUUCGUGAAGAUCCUGCCACCGCACCAGCUCAGCAGCCAGCCAGCAUGGCGCUGCACGCCUCGUCAGCUUGGGCGCGCGUCGGAGCAAGGCGAGGCAGCGACGGACGAGACAAGCUUCCUUGUCGUCCCCGAUAAAGCAAGAGGGCACGUCGGCAGCGCAUUAAAUGUGUUUGUCCUAUGGUGUCAGGCGAUAGACUUGUACACUGUACAUACUUUCCACCUCCUGUGUGGCACUGUGGCAACCCCUUUGACUAUAAAAGGAGGCCCGAGCCGUACUGAGGAAGGAUUCGGACUUUUUGGACUUGGCAUGCACCGCAGCUAGUUCAAGAGCUCAAGAACACCAAAUAUACACCAAAGCAGGAUUCGGGUACUACGCAUCGCUUGCGGACCGAACUUGGAUAAAUCCCCCCCCCCCGCGUUGAUCUUCCAAACCCGCUCUUUCCACAGCCCCACGCCCUGUCAACCAUAGUAGGGAUUCCCUGUGAUCCCAUAGGUGUCGUUCUGCCGACAUCUUUGGCGCGCCUGGUAGGGGGCAUAAGCUGUGAAGAUCCGGUUUGGAAGUUAGCGCAUCGACUUCAUCAUCACCAUGGCCCCCAAGAAGAAGGGGAUCACAGCGAUCGGGUCGUCCGGAGCUGGCCCGUCCGCACCAGCACGGGCGGGUGACAGGGUGGCCACGGAUGGCGCCGGAGGCACGGCCCACGAGCAUCCACGACACUCUGGCAAUCAAAGCCAGGCGAGCGGCAUCGUUCGGGUCCAAGACGACGAGCCGAACGCCGCUGGGCCCGGAGACGGAGCUGUGCUGCUCACGGGCAGCGCGGCGACCUCCCUGACACCCCAGCCGGUGUUCGUGCUGUGACCUUCCCAGGCCACACGCGAUGAGCAACACCGCGACAUCGGUGCCCCCGGGCGCCGCCGCGGGAAGAGCCCUUUGCGUCACUCUCAGGACGCACCAGGCCGGCGUGUGCACCUAGACGCUGGCGGAAGCGGCGCGCGACCGCGGGACCGUGAUAGAGCUCCUUCUAACGUGGUUAGAAGUCGGAGCGCGUCACGGUCCACGCAGCUUUCACCGCCACCCACGCCAGCAGAAGCGUUGGCGCGCGUACAACUGCUCCUCGACUUUCCUUCCGCCGUGGAGAAGCUCGACGAGUGGAGAGCCACCAUUCGAAGCCUCAUCAGCUUCGCCAAUAAAGAUGAACCGCGACCAGCGGGACCCUCGUGCCGGCGCUCCGUCGAGCCGGCGCACGCCAGUGGUGGUAGGACCGUGGCAGCUACGACCACGGUACACUCUCCUCCCACACGCCAGUAGCAGCAGCCACUGGCUCGUCGGGCCGACGCCUAUGACAACGUUUCCACAGCGUCGUCCGACCCGCAAACCCGCUGCGACCAACGUCGAGUUCUUCGAGAGUGAGCUCAUGAAGAUGCUCGAACCACCAUCGAGCAACGGCAAGAAGCGCGCCAUUAGUCAGAUCGGCGUGCGGGGCCUACUAUGGACCACCCAACGCCGGGGGGCUCCGGCGACCUGCCUUACGAGGUGGGUUGCCUAGCCUUUACCCGAGAGUUGCGGCAGUUCUAGUGGCCCUCCCACCGCACAUUCAAGCCUGAUGUUGGGGAAAAGUAGAACGGCAAGACUCACUCGUCGGAGUUCCUCAGCAUCUACACCAUCGUGAUGCAAGCCACCGGGGCUCACGGCGACAAGGUGCUCGCCAACUACUUUCCGUUGGCACUUAAACCCAACGUCAUGUCAUGGUUGAUGCACCUGCCAGUGUAUUCCAUCUCUUCUUGGUCGGAUCUGUGCCACGAGUUUGUUGGCACCUUUACCGGAGGCCACCAAGCUCCUGGCCAGGCACGUGAUUUUCAUGUCAUCCCCCAGAAGGACGGCAAGUCCCUACGCAAGUACAUACAAAGGUUCAGCCGUGUGCAGUACAACAUCCCAGAUGUUCAUCCCGCCGCCGUCAUCAGUGCAUUCCAUCAGAAUGUGCACAACCGCAAGAUGCGUGAGGAGCUGGCGAUGAACAAGGUCAAGGAUGUAGCCGAGCUCUAUGUCCUGGCUGAUAGAUGUGCUCGGGCUGAGGAGGGGAGGAAGUACCCCGGCGAAGAUGCCGGCGCGAAAACCGACUCCACCGAUGAAGACACCAUCGCCCCGACAAAGAAGGGUCGACGCCGCAACAGGAAGCGUAAGGGAAAGACCGUGCUUGCCGUCGAGGGAUUCGGCGACCCCGACGCCGCCAAGAAGGCCAAGGCUGACGACCCCGGCAAGGAAGUUGCCGAGUGCGCCACCUGCUGGGCCUUGGCGGCUGCCGACAAGCCAGGAGGCUCCAACAAGCAGUAUUGCAAGAUCCAUCGCACCAAGGGCCAUGACAUCCAGAACUGCCGACAGGUUGAGCUGCUUGCAGAAAAGCAGAAAGCUGAAUAUGAAAGGCGGGACAAGGAGAAGGGUCAGGAUGGUGCUGAGGGGUCCGGCAAGAAGCGUGGCACCCAAGGAUGUCGGAUGUGGGGUUCCGGCAAACCCUUAAGGUUCGAACACUGGGGUGCGCACGAAGUCUUUACCUCCUUCUGAUCUACGCCCUAGCUCGCUAAGAUCUCUCGGACGAACUCAACGAACUUGCAACACAGAAAGACACGAGGUUUAUACUGGUUCGGGCCACCGUUGUGGUGUAAUACCCUACUCCAGUGUAGCGGUGGUGGAUUGCCUCUAGGGCUGAUGAUGAACAGUACAAGGGAAGAAUAGCCUCCUGAGGUUGAGGUGUUCUUGUAGCUAGGGUAGGCUCUCGAUCGGGUUGGAUCAAGCUAAGAUGAGAUGCCCCUACUUUGGUGGCUAGCUCUACUUAUAUAGGCCCUGGUCCUCUUCCCAAAUAUCGAGCGGGAAGGGAGCCAACAACGGCGGGCAAACUUAAAGGGGGACAGCUAGUACAAGCUAUCCUGACAAAAGCGGUCUUCGCCUGCAAAAAGCUCUGGUGGUGACGCCAUCUUGGGCUCCACGAUGACCUCCGUCUUGCCGUCCUCCUGGUCUUGGUCUUGUUGCACCAAGAUAGCAACCUUUGCCUGACGCCUCGGUACUCUUCGCCUGCGCUGGCCUCCUUAGCACCAAAGAGGAAAUAAGGACGCUGCGUGCGCUGGCGCCCGCCUGGUGUCGUUCGUCAUGGCUCACGUCACGAGGGCCUCGUGAGGUUUUGCACCGCCUUGAUAUCUCCGCUCCUUGUGAGCCUGCUUGGCUAGGCUACUCCAGAGGAGGUCUUGCGUCGUCCGCCUCGCGAGGCUUGGACCCUCGCGAGGGUCUUGGAUGCCUUGUUGAUGAAGAUGGGCCGUACGGCCUGCUGGCUUAGCCACGCUGUGGGCCGCAGGCAGGCAAGUCUGGGGACCCCCGUUCCCAGAACACCGACAGUAGCCCCCAGGCCCAAGGUGCGCUCGGGCUUGGCUUCACGGCGAAGCCAAGGGUCAAGUUCGGAGCACCGCGGGCCCCAAAAGCCUGCAGCCUCGGUUGACGCGUGGCGGUUGAUUGGACGUGGGCGUCUCCACUUCCCCACACUGCCUUGGCAACUGCACGACUUGACAAGUCCCUGCAACAUGCAAGGAAAACCAUCAUUACCUGGGAUCAUGGGAGACGCCCGGUUGGCCUUCUCUUGCUAUAAAUGGGGAGGGGGUGGAGCCCCCGUCGCCCAUCUCUUCCUCGCUUGCUUGCUUCUUCUUCGCUCCAUUGCUUGCAGUGCCACCGAUGGCGCCACGAAGGAAGUUCUCUGCCGCCGAGAAGGGGAAGGCCCCUUGCGAGGGCCCCGGUUCCCUGGCGCCCAAGCGCGGUCGCGGCCGUCCGCGCAAGCACGCCGCGACCCCGCCGUGGCCCACCGUCGAGGCGGCGCCGCGGCACGCGGAGGGGAUCGUCCCAACCGUGGCAGUCCAGCUAACGAGGGGUGGCGCGCAAUGAUGGCGCGGCCUCCCCGCCCGCGCUUCCAUUCAGCGAAGGUGUCGCCGGAGUUCGUCGUCUGGUCGGAGAACCCGGCCGGCAACUGGCUCCAGCUUUCGCGCUUCUUUGUCGAUGAACUGCCGGCCCCUGGUCCAGGCGGGCUCUAGUUGCAGGCGGAUGGUUGCUGCAGCAAGGCCUCUUGGGUCGCGGUUGAGACUUCCGCCACGGGCAACAUAGCCCUGGCCCGCGGCUGGCAGACGUUCGCCCGCGCGCGCGGCCUGGGCAGGCGGUGCACGGUCCACUUCAAGUAUGACAGUGGAUCGACUCUCUAUGUGAGGGUGUUUGGGGAAGAUGGUCACCGCGCCGGGUGCUGCCCUGAGACGAACGACGGUGAGGAGGUGCUCGGCCUUGGUGACGGUCGUGACAAGGAUGUGGGCGAGCCUGCCCUCGGCGGCGACCGCGUCUCUUCCAGCUAUGGUGGCUCUUCCUCUGGCGACAGCUCCAGCAGCGGAGGCUAUGACCAGCCACCGCGCCCGCUUUGAAGGAGGCAGUGGGUCAUCUCAUCGCCGUGCCUCCGUGAAGCGCGAGGAGGGGCUGGCUAGGCUCGGGGCGUCGCUAAGGGCCUGCCUCUGCGGAUUGCUGCAACGCCGCUUUGUUUAGCUCUUUUUCCCUGCAUCAGAAAAUGAAACCAGUAUGGGCCCAGAGGGGCAUGUAUCGAAAUGUGGUUCUUUGGUUAUUGCACUGUGCGUGUUAUUCCCAUGCCGUGUUGUUAUUUUGCGCAAAGAUAACUUAACCUGGUGCAUUUGGGAUGCCCUUUCCCUCACGAGGUGUCCGCGUUUGCUCAGAGACUGCAAAAAAUUCGUUAGGGGUGCGCUAGAGGAUUUGCCGUCCACCCAAGCCUCGACUUGGCGCUUUGUAUCGCGGUACCCGAGGGGCACGGAUUAGGAGAGAUGCGCCAGCUUUCAGGCUCGAACGAGGGUGGCUCGCGAGAAGGCAGAGAGAAGAAAAAUGCUCGUGAGGGCACCUGCCUAGCCCCCUCGCAAGGUAUGCGAGAGAGAGAACACGAGCAAACCAGAGCCAAAAAUGCGGUAAAAGGCUAGGGAAUCAAAUCAGCAAUGAACACCAAGAGCAACUUCGAUUAAGGAAAGGCAAGCCAACUACGGAAAGCAAAUGAAAAGCCGCGUCCGGCACCUAAUCUAGUCUUCAGGUCUUCUCACCAGCGCAGAGCUAAGUGCUUCCACUAGGCGUGGGCGGGAGCCCCAGGGCCUGAGGCCGGCGCUCCUGAGACUCCGGGGCGUGUACAGCCCCAACUCAUUAUUACGUGAGAGUGUCACGGGCGGCGAUUCUUCACAGGCACCGGGCCUUCUUCACAGGCUCUGGGCCUUUCUUCACAGGCUCUGGGCCUUGCUUCAUAGGCUCUAGGCCUUGCUUCAUGGGUAGAACUUCCGGAGGUGCUGGAUGUUCUAGGCGUUUUGGAUAGGUGCCCCUUCUUGCGUCUCCAGGCGCACGGCGCCAGGCCUGGAGAUGUGGACGACCCUGAACGGGCCCUCCCACAUGGGUGAAAGCUUGUGCAACCCUUCCCUGGAGAGGACCCGCCUCAGGACUAGGUCACCCGUCUCGACCGUCCUGGAGCGAAUGUUGCGGCAGUGGUAACGCCGCGGCGCUUGCUGGUACCUUGCCGCCCUUAAUGCAGCUUCGCGACGACGUUCCUCCCCCAGCACGAGAUCCAUCCCCCGCAUGGCGUCCUGCUGCGUUUCGUCGAACGCCAGGACCCACGCGGAGCAAUGCUUGACCUCGUGAGGGAGGACUGCUUCGGCUCUGUAGACGAGGAAGGAUGGAGUCUCGCCCGUUGGCUUGGUAGCGGUGGUGCGUAUGGACCACAGCACAGACUGGAGCUCAUCGUGCCAGCCCCUACCGCAGGCCUCCAGCUUCUUCUUGAAGGUCCUGGUCUUGAGGCCCCUCAGGACCUCUGCGUUGGCGCGCUCAGCCUGACCAUUGCUCCUAGGGUGGGCCACCGAAGCGUAGCAGAUCUGCGUUCCAAGGUUAACACAGUAGGUUUUGAAGAGGUUACUAGUAAACUGCGAGCCGUUAUCUGUGAUGAUGCGCUUGGGGACCCCGAAGCAACUCGAGAGGCCCUUGAUGAACUUGACGGUAGAGCCGGCCGGGAUAGUACGGACGGCUUCCACUUCCACCCACUUGGUGAACUCGUCGAUGGCGACGUAGAGAUAGCGAUAGCCCCCUGGCGCCCCAUGGGAACAGGCCUAAGAUGUCCAGCCCCCAGACUGUGAAUGGCCAUGUGAGAGGGAUGGUUUGGAGGCCCUGAGCAGGGUGAUGGAUUUGCUUGGCAUCGAAUUGGCAAGCUUCGCAGGACUUCACCAGCUCGGCUGCAUCGUUGAGCGCUGUAGGCCAAUAGAAUCCACUGCGGAACACCUUUCCGACGAGGGUCCGUGACGACGAGUGAUGCCCGCAGUCCCCGCCGUGUAUGUCAAUCAGCAGCUCCCUUCCUUGAUCGCUGGAGAUGCAGCGCAGCGUGACAUCGUUCGGCCGUUUCCUGUACAACUCGCCGUCUUGAAUGCAGUAUGACGUGGCUUGCCGGGCCACGCGCUCCGCGUCCUCUUCCUUCUCCGGUAGCUCCCCGCGUGUCAGGUACUCCUUGAAUUCCUUAGUCCAACAUUCCUCCUGGGGCUCAAGCGCCAAGAGCAGCCGAGCUCCUGAGGUCGGCCCACACGCCGGGGCUCCCGUGACCGGAGGUUGUGGGAGCUCCUCCCGAGGCUGAGUAGUGCUUGAAAGGGGUGGCAUAGCUGAUGGCUUGAAGAGCCGCUCCUCAAAGACACCAGGCUCUUGUGGUAGCCACUUGGAUGCUCUCCUGGCGAUGUCGUCGGCUUCUUCGUUGGUGCCCCGGGGCACGUGCUGCAGCUCGAGAACUGAGAACUGCUUUUCCAUCUUGCGUACUUCCGUGAGGUAGGCCUCCAUGUGCUCGUCCUUCGGCUCGUACACCUUGUUGGAAAAGUUGACGAGGAGUUGCGAGUCGCCUCUGACGGUAAGGCGCUUCACCCCCAGAGCUGCCGCAGCCUUCAGGCCAGCUAUGAGGCCUUCAUAUUCUGCGAUAUUGUUGGAGACCUUCUCGCCGUGCUGGAAGCAGAGUUGCAUGACAUAGUACAGCUUGUCCUGGGUGGGCGAGAUGAGCACCGCUCCAGCUCCCGCGCCCUGGUGUGCGAAAGCGCCAUCGAAAUACAUGACCCGACCGUCUAGAUCCUCGCUCCCUGGGGAGGUGGACCGGUCCUCCCCUUCCUCAAGUGUCGGGGCAUCCGUCCAUUCUGCCACAAAGUCAGCGAGCGCAGCCCCCUUGAUGACCCUGCUAGUGCUGAACUCUAACUGGAAUGCUUGCAGCUCAAUAUUCCACUCAGCGACCCUUCCAGCCGAAUUUGGGCUCCUGAGUACCCUCUCCAAUGGGUAAGCUGAGACGACCUUGAUCGGGUGCCCCUGGAAGUAGUGUCGCAGCUUGCGCGAGGCCACCAAGAGUGCGAGCAGGAGCUUCUAAGGCAUGGGGUAGCGUGCUCUUGCGUCUCUCAGCACGGUGCUGACGAAGUACACCGGGUGUUCGACGUGGGCUGGCGCACUAUCGAGGCUGGGGUUCUGCGGAGGUUGGUGCAUCUCCUGAGGUGGAGGGUUUCUCGAGACUUGGCUGUCCUCAGGAGCUUCUGUGAUGUUGUCCUGCCGAGCUUUGUCUUCCCUAGUGGAUGCCUUUGUUCCGUGCUCCUGACCCUGCGCCACUUCAGCUCCGGCUUGGCGCGGCGCGCCCUUGGCUUGGCGUUCCUCCCUGACCACCACCAGCGCCGCGCUGGCGGAGUACGGGGUGGCGGCAAGGUAGAGUACCAGAGGCUCGAGAGGCCGUGGUGCCACCAUCACCGGGGGGCUGGUAAGGUAUUUCUUGAGGUCUUGGAAGCCCUGAUCAGCCUCCGGGGUCCACUCGAACGGGCCUUUCUUCUUCAUGAGCUUGAAGAAGGGUAAGACGCGCUGUUCAGCUUGGAGAUGAAAUGCCCUAAUGCGGUCACCCGCCCCGCUAGCUUUUGCAUCUCUUUGAGGGUCUGAGGCGGGCUCAUGUCCUCGAUGGCCUUGAUCUUCUCUGGGUUUGCCUCGAUCCCUCUGUGGGACACGAGGAAUCCCAGCAGCUUGCCGGAGGGGACACCGAACACGCACUGCUCCGGGUUAAGCCUCAAGUUCACCCGGCGCAGGCUCUCGAAGGUUUCCUCCAAAUCUUGAAUCAAUGUCCUCGCCUCGCGAGACUUUACCACUAUGUCGUCGACAUAGGCCUCUGUGUUCCUCCCGAGCUGCCGCCCAAGGGCGAUGUUGUAACGCCCACGAUGCGGCUAUAUCUCCCACGUGUCGAGGCACGACUUAGAGGCAUAACCGCAUUGUGGUUUUGUCGCAAGAAGGGUCAUCUUCACACAAUCCCAUGUAAUGAACAAGAAUGGGAUAAAGAGUUGGCUUACAAUCGCCACUUCACACAAUACAUAAAUAAAUCAUACAUCAAUCAGAGUACACACAUUGACCGACUACGGUCAAAGUCAAAAGAAAGAAGAUAACCCAACUGCUAGAUCCCUGAUCGUCCCAACUGGGCUCCACUACUGAACAACAUGAUAAGAAACAACACAACGAACAAGAUCUUCAUCGAGCUCCCACUUGAGCUCGGUUGCGUCACCUGCACUGGUAUCCUCGGCACCUACAACUGUUUUGGUAGAAUCUGUGAGUCACGAGGACUCAGCAAUCUCAUACCCGCGAGAUCAAGACUAUUUAAGCUUAUAGGAAAGGAUGGGGUAAUGAGAUGGAGCUGCAGCAAGCACUAAGCAUAUAAGGUGGCUAACAUACGCAAAUGAGAGCGAGAAGAGAAGAAACGGAACGGUCGUCAACUAGUAAUGAUCAAGAAGUGAUCCUGAACUCCUACUUACGUCAGGCAUAACCCCGAAACCGUGUUCACUUCCCGGACUCCGCCGAAAAGAGACCAUCACGGCUACACACGUGGUUGAUGCGUUUUAAUUAGGGUCAAGUGUCAAGUUCUCUACAACCGGAUAUUAACAAAUUCCCAUCUGCCACAUAACCGCGGGCACGGCUUUCGAAAGAUAAUACCCUGCAGGGGUGUCCCAACUUAGCCCAUUAUAAGCUCUCACGGUCAACGAAGGAUAAAUCUUCUCCCAGGAAGACCCGAUCAGACUCAGAAUCCCGGUUUACAAAACAUUUCGACAAUGGUAAAACAAGACCAGCAAGACCACCCGCUGUGCCGACAAAUCCCGAUAGGAGUUGCACAUAUCUCGUUCUCAGGGCACACCGGAUGAGCAAGACGUCGGGUUGGCAUAGAUCCUGGUUGCCUAGGGGGCGCCGGACAUCGCUCGGUUUGGACCAGCACUCGAAGGAGAACUGGCCCGGGGGUUUAAAAUAAAGAUGACCCUUGAGUCUGCAGAACCCAAGGGAAAAAGGCUUAGGUAGGCAAAUGGUAAAACCAAGGUUGGGCCUUGCUGGAGGAGUUUUAUUCAAAGCGAACUCACAAGGGGGUCCCAUAAAUCACCCAACCGCGUAAGGAACGCAAAAUCAAGGAACAUAACACCGGUAUGACGGAAAACUAGGGAGGCAAGAGUGGAACAAAACACCAGGCAUAAGGCCGAGCCUUCCACCCUUUACCAAGUAUAUAGAUGCAUUAAUUAAAUAAGAGAUAUUGUGAUAUCCCAACAUAAUCAUGUUCCAACAUGGAGCAAUCUUCAACUUCACCUGCAACUAACAACGCUAUAAGAGGGGCUGAGCAAAAGCGGUAACAUAGCCAAACAACGGUUUGCUAGGAAAGGAUGGUUAGAGGCUUGACAUGGCAAUAUGGGAGGCAUGAUAUAGCAAGUGGUAGGUAGCGCAGCAUAGCAAUAGAGCGAACAACUAGCAAAGCAAAGAUAGAAGUGAUUUCGAGGGUAUGGUCAUCUUGCCUGAGAUCCCGCUAGGAAGAAGAACGAGUCCAUGAAGAAGACAAACGGAGGAAGUCGAACGAAUCCUCACAACUCCAGAACGAAACUGAAGCUAACGAGAGAAGCAACCCGGAAAGAAACAAACAACAUAGUAAACAACCACCACAUACACAUGGCAUGAUGCACAAACAAGUAUGAUGCAUGUCCGAUUUAAAGAGCAUGGCAUGGCAAAGUGCAACAAACAACACUACAAAUUAAGUGGAGCUCAAUAUGUAACGAGUUGCAUAUUGACGAAACACCACAUCAAUUAUUUAGUUCUCUCUCGGUUAUGUACCCAACAAUAUUAAAUGUUGAUUAACAUGGCAAGAGGUGAAGCAUAAGUAAACUACCUAUUUAAGCAAGUUAAAUGAGGCCGGAAAUAAUAAACAACAAUUCCAGAAAAUCCCCAUAUCCAUAUUUUAGAUUUGGUACUGUUCUGCCAUAAACGCAAUUUUAAUGUUGUUAAACAGCAAAAUAAAGUGCAGCAAGUUAAUCUAUGCAUUUUUCUACCCCAUUUACAUAUGAAGUUUAUUAAAAUCCGAGUUACGGUUAUUUAGUUAUGAAAUAAAUCAUUUUAACAUGGCAAUCGAGCAAAUUUAAACAAACAACAUUUUAAAUAUUUUAAACAAGGAUGAAAGUUGCAUACUGUUAAAGAACAUGAAAAUAUGAACAAAAUGCAUAUAUGACAUGUUUCAUUUGAAUGCAUGGACCUUUAGUUAUCAACAAUGCAAAACCAGUGGCAUUUCUGCAAAUAUGCAUGCACUUGGAAUUAGACAAAUCGGAGUGAACAUAAAAAAACGAUGCGGGCCGAAUGCUGCGCACUGUGGAAGCCCAGCAGCAGAUCUGGCCCGAAGCGGCUGAGUGUCUGUGAGCAAAAAAAAUAAAAGGAAGCAGUGCAGAAAAUAGGGGCUCCUGGGAUUCGAACCCCAGACCUCCUGGAUGCAGGAGCGUGGUGCGAACCACUGCGCUGCCGUGGCUGAAGUUGAUAGGAAAGGGCGCGGCCCCUUAAGAGAUUGCCCAGGGCCGAGCCUCUCUGUAUAGGCAGAGAAGACGAUGGCUGCGAGGACGGAGCCGGCGAGGUUAGCCGUGGUGAUGACGGGGCUUCUAGGUGCAGGGGCGUGUGCGUGUGCGGGGUGAGGCCAGCGGAGGGGCGCGCUAGGCGAGAACCGGAGCACGGAGAUGCUACUGCAUCUACGCGAGCAACAGAGAACUACAGGCGCCAACCAUGAACGGCGGCCUAGUGGUGAUGAUGCAUGAGGAUAUGCAUGUGAUGUUUGCCGUGUUCUGGAGUUGCACGCGCAGGUGAAAGGACGGGGCAGCCGUGUGCAACUGUGUGUGUGCGCGCUAGGCAGGCUAGGAAAAGGGCGCGGGCGCUCGACUUGGGGCACGACAAGCAGCGGCGAUGGCAACAGGGCACGGUGAGCCGGCGGCAAAGCUGCGGAAGAAGGCGCGAGGCCAGUGGGAUGUCUACGGAGCCAACUGGGCUUCGGGAUGCACGGGAUGCAGAGAGCGUGCUGCUGGAUCCUGAGAAAAAUUCAGAAAACACCGGAGCGGCGAGAGCGCGACGCGAAACCUAUCCUAGGCACGUCUACGGCGAUCGAUGUGCGGCAGGAGGAGAGAGAGGGGGAGCAGGUAUACCUAGCUCACCCUAGGACACGGAUGCAUCGACGUAGAUGAGCCAUCGGCGACGCGGACGAGCUCUAAACCCGACGCGGCUCCUGUCCGAGGAAGAAGAAAGCAGAGGAAGAUGCCAGGCGCGGGACUUGGCGACUCCUUAUGUGACGCAGAUGUAGCAGCGGGCGAAGAGGACAUCGACGGACUUGCCGGACACGAACGGCGAGGAAGAAGAUGAAGGAGUUCACGGCGGCGACAUGGCUGGUCCUUCGGUGCACUCGGGAUGCGUUGGGGGCGAUGGAUCAGAUGGAUUGGCGUGGCUUACCGGGUGGCGGCGGAGAUGGGGGAAAGAGGGGGAUCGGGGGAACCCUAGGGGGGUAGGGGCGAAUUUAUAGGAGGGUCAGGAGGCGUCCAGGAGUCAUGGUGAAACCACGGUGGCCAUGUGCGCUCUUCACUGAGAGUUACUGUGAGAGAGAGGGUGCGUGAGGUGGAAGAAAAAGGUGAGGGGGAGAGGAUGACAGGUGGGUCCAGCCCGGUGCAUGUGGGAAAAAAUAACCAGGGAAGAGAAGAGUUGGGCUGGAUCAGCUGGGAGGAACAUAGUUAAGUGGGCUCGCUCCUCUUAACUGAAAGCCCCUUCUUUUCCUUAUUUCCUCAACCAGAACUUUAGAGAAAAGAAGGAGGUGCUAGAGGUGGAAUAUUUCAGAAAAGAAAAUAUCUCUGAAGUCUUGAUAAUAUGCACAAUUUGAAUAAAUUGGUUUGGCAAUUUUUAGAGGAAGAAAAAUAAUUCAAGUUUGAAUUGAAUUCAAACUUGAGCCAUUUUUUAACCCAACCAAAACAAUCCCAAAAUGGAUGAAAUUUGGCAGAGUGGUUAAAGACAUGGUGAGAAUUUAUAGGAAAAGAGUGAACAUUAUAUGGAAUAGAAAUAAUGCCACCUGAAUAAAUCGGUGAGAAUUGAAAGGACGGAGCUAGAGAUGGGGUGAUGCACUGUGCAAAGAGACUCCGGUUUAGGCGAGAGGGACAACGAAGCACAAGGUUGGUCUCGGAACGGUCAACGAAAGCAAGGGGGACACGACAACUACGAGCGGACGCAAUUUUUAUGAAAACAUGUAAAUGCAAAGCGCAUGAUGCUAUGAGAUGAGAUGCAACAAACAAAUAAAUAACACAGCUGACUCGCAAAACAAGGAAGGCAACUAGAGCAUCGGUCUCGGGGCGUUACAACACUCCACCACUACAAGAGGAUCUCGUCCCGAGAUCUAGGAUGGCACCGGAGAGAAGCAGAAGAGGAAGAGGUAAAACAAAGUUGCUUCUUUGACAAACGAGUGAAACCAAAGAACCUUGAGAAGUCGCAAAGCUUGAAGAAAUGUCACGACGGAGCUGAACAAAAUUUAAAACACUCCGUUAUUAAAGAGGAACAAGGAACAUUGCGAGAACCUUAGUAGGUUGAAGGACAUGAAACAAGAGCUUAACGGAUCAAAAUUAAUAUGAAACACACCGGUAGAAAAGAGAAACAAGGAACACCAUGUGAACUUUGGAGUUAAGUGACGCGAUAGAUAUUUAAACCACUCCGGUUAAAAUAAGAUAGGGAAGGAAUAAGAAUGAUAAAAUUUGGGCAGCACUCCGACUGAAAAUGGAAGGAAUUGAACAUGAUCUCGACAAGAUGAGAGGAUACUCUAUGAAUUUAACAACAUAUUGCCUCCGGAACUAAAGAAAGAAUGGCACAAGGUGUAAGAAAGAUUUCAGACAGCACUCCGGUUGAGAAGGGAGGCAAAAACUUGACAGAAUGGAAAGAACUUGAAAAGAGGGCACGACACUCUAGUUGGAAUGGAAAAGCACGAAAAGAACACGGUCCUCACAAAUCGAGAAGAUGAGUGAAGAGAGCAACAUCACCAUGUCUCCGGAAGAAAUAAAUAAUAGAAGAUAGAUCCUUGGAAUAAAGAAUGGAGAAUAAAAUGCCAACUUCUGCCACAAAUUAUCUUGGAAAGCACCCUUCCAAGAAGGUAAGAACGGAGUAGUUGGAAAACCAACAACGAAAAGAAAAAACUUGUAGUGGGCUUAUGUAAACAUCUCAACAUUAUGAGGUGACAAACGGCCACUAAAGGAAGCCAUUGGUUUGAGUGAGAGCACCAAGGCGAUGAAAAACAUCUUUCACCCAGAGGAUAGGAGAAAACUUGGAUCAUUGAUAAGCACCAUAAUAGCAACAUUCCUUAGGGAAGGCUUUAGGUGAAACACGACACAAGAUAAAUCCAACGAAGAGAUUAUUAUGAGUUGAAACAACUCAUGGAUGAAGAAAAUAAGAUGGGUUUAAAUAUCUCAUUCUUGACAACUUGUGAAUCAUGAAACAUGAAGAAAAUAGUCAAGAGUGACAUAACACCACCUCAAAAGAUCAGGUAGGAAGAAUUGCACUACGGAAUGCAAGAAUGCUUGAGCUCCAACAAGAAUCUUGAAGAACACUUCGAGAAUGAAUUAAAUCCUUGAUGAACCACCCUGUAUAGCCUCCAUGAAGAACUCCGGUAAUAAAAGAAUGAUCAAACGAAAGGGAAAGUUGAAAAGAACUCUGGGAGAAGCCUUGCAAUGAUUAGAUGAAGCUUUGAAAUGAUAUAAUUGAAAUAACUUGGAGCUCCGGAAAGGAAAAUGAGCAAAUGAGAUCAAGAAUUUUUAUGAAUCUCCGGAAUAAGGAAUUAAAUCACUUGGAUGAAACAAGAAUAAGAAUUACAUUAUGCUUAGCCUUCACCAAUUAAAUUGAUGACAAGCAAUGGAUUUAGCAUACUACUUAUGCUCAUAGAAAGGAUUAAGAUAGAUAUUGCGCAAACUUGGGAAGGUCUUCAACGAACCACUGGUAACAACGGAAGAGAAUUCUUGAAUGAACCACCGUAAGAAUUGAAAAUGAAAGUAGCAAAGGCACAAUUCGCCGGGAAGAAUUAGAAAACGAAUAAAGAUACUUGACAGAAUUUAGAUACAUGAGAACGAAGAGAUCGUGAACUCAUUAGAGGAUAUUUGAACGAUGCACCGGAAGAAUAUGGAGAUGACCAAAGAGACAUCAAUUUAGAAUAAUUGAAGAACGAAGCUGAAAACUUAGAACGAAGAAAUCUUAUGGAAUGAUGGCCUUUGGAUGAUCAAGAAAUGAAACAACUCAUGAAAUGCUCCGGAUGGGUAAGAAAAGAAUUCUCACAAUCGAAAACAAUUAUGAGAGGAUGGCAUAAGCUAGAACUAUGAAUCUUCAAGAGAACGGACCAAGAUUUAGGAGAAAUUCUUCUUCGGUCUUCAAAUGUUGAGAAUGACGACGAGAAACACCACCAUGAAUUGUUGAGAUACUCCGGGAUGAAAAUUAGAAAGAUUGAACCAACAAUGAAAAGAGUUUGAAAGAUCUUGGAGAAAGACAUUUGACUGAUGAUAAUUCAUUCUUACAUCAAACUUUGCAAUGAAUUUAAGAAUAACUCCGGAAAAAUUAGAAGAGUCAGGUAAGAUCCUGGAAAAGACCUGUGGGUUAGGCCCACUCAAAGAUACACCGUUGAAUGAUUUAAAAAAAGAGAUUGCGCCAGUUGAAUUAAAUGGCUUGAAUGAGAUAACAACCUCGAAAUAGCUUGAACGGAUCUUGAAUGAAAACACGAAUCUCCUGAGAUAACUUCAACACUCCAGAUAAACAUGAAUAGCAAGAGGUGGAUGAUUAAGAGGUGCACCGGCAUGAGAAAACAUUUGAAACAAGGAAAGGAAUGUGAUUAACACUGAAAACUUGAAUUGAAUCCACUGAAAAAGAAUACGAGAAUGAAGAAUGAUAAUCUUGAAGAACAUCUUCAUGAGAACCACUGGGUAAGAACAUUGAUUAAAAAGAAUGAAGGGACUUCACAUGAAUAAAAUGGAUACUUGGUUAAGACAUAUGAUUCCUUGAAGAAAAGGGUGGGAGGGCGGGAAAAACAAAGGCACCUUGGGACGGAUGAAACAAACACCGUUGAGAAAACUUAGAGUUGAACUUGCGGAUGUUGAAAAGAUCAGAUCCACUUGAAGAGAAGCACGCCGGUUGGAAAAGAAUUAACAUGACGACCUCGAGAUCAAGAAGGAUUAGUAUCCAUAUAGAAAUAUGAGAACACCGUUUAGGAAAGGUAUGGAUUUAACAUUUGACUUCGAAGCAACUCGAAUACCACAACUUAAAACAAAACAAAGGAUUUGGCUUGCGGAAUAAGCCGAAACAAACAUAUGAUAGAGAUUCCGUCCGAAGUUUUCAUGGUGGGGCCCACACGGGCUCGACCGUACAGCACCAUCAUGUACAAGGUAGUGCACAUGACAUACGAAGCGUCCCCGAGUCGGCAUAGCCAAGGACUCUUUAAGACACUACGAGACCACUGUAAAACCAACCGUGGAAAGGCGGACCACUAGACGUCGAACCCCAAUCUCAUCAUGCGUCUGUCGGAAAAAUAUCCUAGGAGCUACUUGAAUUCCCACUUAUAAACUCCCGAAACUUUCUGGUUAUGCAAUCUGGUGUUGGGGAUACAGGGGACACAAAAUAUAUCACCCAAACUAACAAUACCUAGAUCCUGCUGUAUCCAUCCUUCAACACAUAACCAAGAAACCUUCGGAAAUCAUUUACCUCAACCUUCGAAAAGCAUCCGUUAUACGAGUUAUGGCAAUACUCCCGAACUCCCGCCCCAGUACUGGGUGGCGUCGAGGUGAUCUCACCAACAAUUGCAUAAAAGAGAUUUCGAUGUCGGCGAAACUCAGGUAUUCCAGAACUACAACGAUAAAAUUGUGACGACAACACCUCCGAGCUCAACUCCCCGGGACACUGCCACAACCCCUAAAUGUCAGGAGGCACCAAGAACAAUGUUCCCGUCACAAAACCAUCGGAACGAUUCCAAGAUACCCGCGUGAUCCUAAAAAAAUUAGUGAAAUUUGAGGAGAGAAGAGUCAAAACUUCUACGUCAGGAGACCUCACCAAGGCGAUGAAGGGACUGAGGAGUAAAAAGAAUCCUAACACUCUGAUAUAUAUAAUCCUAGACUCAAAACAUUUUCGUUCUACACUUAACAACGCCAGCGAUUCGAUCAAGCAGGGGCUCCUAAGUCGGGGAUGGCUCUGAUUACCAACUUGUAACGCCCACAAUGCGUCUAUAUGUCCCACGUGUCGAGGCACGACUUAGAGGCAUAACCGCAUUGUGGUUUUGUCGCAAGAAGGGUCAUCUUCACACAAUCCCAUGUAAUGAACAAGAAUGGGAUAAAGAGUUGGCUUACAAUCGCCACUUCACACAAUACAUAAAAAAUCAUACAUCAAUCAGAGUACACACAUAGACCGACCAUGGUCAAAGUCAAAAGAAACAAGAUAACCCAACUGCUAGAUCCCUGAUCGCCCCAACUGGGCUCCACUACUGAGCAACAUGAUAAGAAACAACACAAUGAACAAGAUCUUCAUCGAGCUCCCACUUGAGCUCGGUUGCGUCACCUGGACUGGUAUCCUCGGCACCUGCAACUGUUUUGGUAGAAUCUGUGAGUCACGAGGACUCAGCAAUCUCAUACCCGCGAGAUCAAGACUAUUUAAGCUUAUAGGAAAGGAUGGGGUAAUGAGGUGGAGCUGCAGCAAGCACUAAGCAUAUAAGGUGGCUAACAUACGCAAAUGAGAGCGAGAAGAGAAGCAACGGAACGGUCGUCAACUAGUAAUGAUCAAGAAGUGAUCCUGAACUCCUACUUACGUCAGGCAUAACCCCGAAACCGUGUUCACUUCCCGGACUCCGCCGAAAAGAGACCAUCACGGCUACACACGCGGUUGAUGCGUUUUAAUUAGGGUCAAGUGUCAAGUUCUCUACAACCGGAUAUUAACAAAUUCCCAUCUGCCACAUAACCGCGGGCACGGCUUUCGAAAGAUAAUACCCUGCAGGGGUGUCCCAACUUAGCCCAUUAUAAGCUCUCACGGUCAACGAAGGAUAAACCUUCUCCCAGGAAGACCCGAUCAGACAUGGAAUCCCGGUUUACAAAACAUUUCGACAAUGGUAAAACAAGACCAGCAAGACCACCCGCUGUGCCGACAAAUCCCGAUAGGAGCUGCACAUAUCUCAUUCUCAGGGCACACCGGAUGAGCAAGACGUCGGGUAGGCAUAGACCCUGGUUGCCCAGGGGGCGCCGGACAACGCUCAGUUUGGACCAGCACUCAAAGGAGAACUGGCCCGAGGGUUUAAAAUAAAGAUGACCCUUCAGUCUGCAGAACCCAAGGGAAAAAGGCUUAGGUAGGCAAAUGGUAAAACCAAGGUUGGGCCUUGCUGGAGGAGUUUUAUUCAAAGCAAACUGUCAAGGGGGUCCCAUAAAUCACCCAACCGCGUAAGGAACGCAAAAUCAAGGAACAUAACACCGGUAUGACGGAAAACUAGGGAGGCAAGAGUGGAACAAAACACCAGGCAUAAGGCCGAGCCUUCCACCCUUUACCAAGUAUAUAGAUGCAUUAAUUAAAUAAGAGAUAUUGUGAUAUCCCAACAUAAUCAUGUUCCAACAUGGAGCAAUCUUCAACUUCACCUGCAACUAACAACGCUAUAAGAGGGGCUGAGCAAAAGCGGUAACAUAGCCAAACAACGGUUUGCUAGGAAAGGAUGGUUAGAGGCUUGACAUGGCAAUAUGGGAGGCAUGAUAUGGCAGCAUAGCAAUAGAGCGAACAACUAGCAAAGAAAAGAUAGAAGUGAUUUCGAGGGUAUGGUCAUCUUGCCUGAGAUCCCGCUAGGAAGAAGAACGAGUCCAUGAAGAAGACAAACGGAGGAAGUCGAACGAAUCCUCACAACUCCGGAACGAAACCGAAGCUAACGAGAGAAGCAACCCGGAAAGAAACAAACAACAUAGUAAACAACCACCAUAUACACAUGGCAUGAUGCACAAACAAGUAUGAUGCAUGUCCGAUUUAAAGAGCAUGGCAUGGCAAAGUGCAACAAACAACACUACAAAUUAAGUGGAGCUCAAUAUGUAACGAGUUGCAUAUUGACGAAACACCACAUCAAUUAUUUAGUUCUCUCUCGCUUAUGUACCCAACAAUAUUAAAUGUUGAUUAACAUGGCAAGAGGUGAAGCAUAAUUAAACUACCUAUUUAAUCAAGUUAAAUUAGGCCGGAAAUAAUAAACAACAAUUCCGGAAAAUCCCCAUAUCCAUAUUUUGGAUUUGGUACUGUUCUGCCAUAAACGCAAUUUUAAUGUUGUUAAACAGCAAAAUAAAGUGCAGCAAGUUAAUCUAUGCAUUUUUCUACCCCAUUUACAUAUGAAGUUUAUUAAAAUCCGAGUUACGGUUAUUUAGUUAUGAAAUAAAUCAUUUUAACAUGGAAAUCGAGCAAAUUUAAACAAACAGCAUUUUAAAUAUUUUAAACAAGGAUGAAAGUUGCAUACUGUUAAAGAACAUGAAAAUAUGAACAAAAUGCAUAUAUGACAUGUUUCAUUUGAAUGCAUGGACCUUUAGUUAUCAACAAUGCAAAACCAGUGGCAUUUCUGCAAAUAUGCAUGCACUUGGAAUUAGACAAAUCGCAGUGAACAUAAAAAAAGGAUGCGGGCCGAAUGCUGCGCACUGUGGAAGCCCAGCAGCAGAUCUGGCCCGAAGCGGCUGAGUGUCUGUGAGCAAAAAAAAUAAAAGGAAGUAGUGCAGAAAAUAGGGGCUCCUGGGAUUCGAACCACAGACCUCCUAGAUGAAGGAGCGUGGUGCGAACCACUGCGCUACCGCGGCUGCAGUUGAUAGGAAAGGGCGCGGCCCCUUAAGAGAUUGCCUAGGGCGGAGCCUCUCUGUAUAGGCAGAGAAGACAACGGCUGCGAGGACGGAGACGGCGAGCUUAGCCGUGGUGAUGACGGGGCUUCUAGGUGCAGGGGCGUGUGCGUGUGCGGGGUGAGGCCAGCGGAGGGGCGCGCUAGGCGAGAACCGGAGCACGGAGACGCUACUGCAUCUACGCGAGCAACAGAGAACUACAGGCGCCAACCAUGAACGGCGGCCUAGUGGUGAUGAUGCGUGAGGAUAUGCAUGUGAUGUUUGCCGUGUUCUGGAGUUGCACGCGCAGGUGAAAGGACGGGGCAGCCGUGUGCAACUGUGUGUGUGCGCGCUAGGCAGGCUAGGAAAAGGGCGCGGGUGCUCGACUUGGGGCACGACAAGCAGCGGCAACGGCAACAGGGCACGGUGAGCCGGCGGCAAAGCUGCAGAAGAAGGCGCGAGGCCAGUGGGAUGUCUACGGAGCCAACUGGGCCUCGAGAUGCACGGGAUGCAGAGAGCGUGCUGCUGGAUCCUGAGAAAAAUUCAGAAAACACUGGAGCAGCGAGAGCACGACGCGAAACCAAUCCUAGGCACGUCUACGGCGAUCGAUAUGCGGCAGGAGAAGAGAGAGGGGGAGCAGGUAUACCUAGCUCACCCUAGGACACGGAUGCAUCGACGUAGAUGAGCCAUCGGCGACGCGGACGAGCUCUAAACCCAACGGAGUUCCUGUCCGAGGAAGAAGAAAGCAGAGGAAGACGCCAGGCGCGGGACUUGGCGACUCCUUAUGUGACGCAGAUGUAGUAGCGGGCGAAGAGGACGUCGACGGACUUGCCGGACACGAACGGCGAGGAAGAAGAUGAAGGAGUUCACGGCGGCG
Molecule: long non-coding RNA, 30452 nt
Filed under: Triticum aestivum (bread wheat)
Lineage: Eukaryota; Viridiplantae; Streptophyta; Magnoliopsida; Poales; Poaceae
Description: long non-coding RNA (TAES_LNC019365)
Source: RNAcentral